UUAUUUAGGCAGGGCCAAAAAACACCAGAACCGAAGAAUCGAACCAUAAUCGAAACAAAAUACCUGAAUCGGAAGUCGGGCCAAAACCCUAAAAUAUCCAAAUGAUAUCACAUAUUUCUAUCCAAACAACCGAACCAAACCGAAACCAAAUCGAGAACAUAACAUGUACCUGAAUAUAUAAAAAUAUUAGUAACACAUAUCUAUAACAUAACAAAAAAUAUAUAUAUAAUUAUUUUAUAAAAGUUUAUAAUUUAAAAGUUUAUAAAAGUAUCUGAAAAUAUUUGAAAGAAAUUAAAUUAAAUUAAAGUAUCCAAACUACCUAAAAUAUCAGGAUAUUUUUAUCUGAAAUAUCAAACAUAACCCAAAAUAUCAUAUAUUUUUAUCUGAAUCAUAAUAGUUAUUCGAUAUUUUAAUCCAAAACACCAAAUAUUUAACCCAAAUUAUCCAAACUAUCCGCUAUCCGAAGUAACCGAACCGGAACCUGAAUCAAAUAGAAAUGAUUUUUAGGCAUUUUCUGGUUUCUAGUUUUACUAUCC
This 536-nucleotide long non-coding RNA is filed under the name Brassica napus (rape). RNAcentral's name for it is "long non-coding RNA (BNAP_LNC006699)". The record is from RNAcentral. Lineage: Eukaryota; Viridiplantae; Streptophyta; Magnoliopsida; Brassicales; Brassicaceae.